Non-coding RNA from Leucogyrophana mollusca, 82 nucleotides. The record is from the annotation of a GenBank genome assembly. NCBI's taxonomy places the organism in Eukaryota, Fungi, Basidiomycota, Agaricomycetes, Boletales.
GGGCACUUGGCACAGUUGGUAGCGCGCACGCUUCGCACUGUGUGAUUGCGUGAGGUCGUGGGUUCAACUCCCACAGUGUCCA